GCUUCCAUAGCUCAGUGGUAGAGCACUUCCAUGGUAAGGAAGGGGGGGUCGCCGGUUCAAGUCCGGCUGGAAGCU
This 75-nucleotide transfer RNA is filed under the name Gracilibacillus boraciitolerans JCM 21714. It matches the Rfam family "tRNA". From Rfam's summary of the family: Transfer RNA (tRNA) molecules are approximately 80 nucleotides in length. Their secondary structure includes four short double-helical elements and three loops (D, anti-codon, and T loops). The record is from Rfam by way of RNAcentral. Lineage: Bacteria; Bacillati; Bacillota; Bacilli; Caryophanales; Bacillaceae.